GGCUCCAUAAUGUAGUGGUUAGCACGUCUGUUUUACAUGCAGAAAGUUCUAGAGGGCCUGGGUUCACACCCCAGGUGGAGCCA
Molecule: transfer RNA, 83 nt
Filed under: Pteropus alecto (black flying fox)
Lineage: Eukaryota; Metazoa; Chordata; Mammalia; Chiroptera; Pteropodidae
Also listed under: 1 other name
Rfam family: tRNA
About the family: Transfer RNA (tRNA) molecules are approximately 80 nucleotides in length.
Source: Rfam by way of RNAcentral